CUUGGUCAUUUAGAGGAAGUAAAAGUCGUAACAAGGUUUCCGUAGGUGAACCUGCGGAAGGACCAUUACAAGUGAGGCUACCGAACGUUGGAAACAGCGGUUAGGAGCUUACACCCACCCGUGUUUACAUACUAUUGUUGCUUUGGCGGGCCGUGGCCUCCACUGCGGGCUCUGCUCGUGUGUGCCCGCCAGAGAACCAAACUCUGAAUGUUAGUGAUGUCUGAGUACUAUCUAAUAGUUAAAACUUUCAACAACGGAUCUCUUGGUUCUGGCAUCGAUGAAGAACGCAGCGAAAUGCGAUAAGUAAUGUGGAUUGCAGAAUUCAGUGAAUCAUCGAAUCUUUGAACGCACAUUGCGCCCUGUGGUAUUCCGCAGGGCAUGCCUGUUCGAGCGUCAUUUAACCACUCACGCCUAGCGUGGUAUUGGGGCACGCGGUCUCCGCGGCCCUCAAAAUUAGUGGCGGCGCCGGUGGGCUCUAAGCGUAGUACAUACUCCCGCUAUAGAGUUCCCCCCGGUGGCUCGCCAGAACCCCCAAUUUUUUACAGGUUGACCUCGGAUCAGGUAGGGAUACCCGCUGAACUUAAGCAUAUCAAUAAGCGGAGGA
This 604-nucleotide ribosomal RNA is filed under the name uncultured Phialocephala. RNAcentral describes it as "eukaryotic LSU rRNA". The stretch from base 243 to 396 matches the Rfam family "5.8S ribosomal RNA". Lineage: Eukaryota; Fungi; Ascomycota; Leotiomycetes; Helotiales. The record is from RNAcentral.